UUUUACCGAAGUAGUAGAACAAUGCAGACAUUUAUUAGAAGUUUGCUCCUUUGAAAUAUUAUUAUUACACUGAAAGUUGGAAAAAAGCUAAACAUCCAUCAGAGGAGGUUGAUUACAUAAAUUAUGAAAGAUCCAUAUUUUUUAAUUCUAUGAAGCCAUAAAAUGAUAAUACUGAUAUGUAUCAUUGAACCCACCACUGAUUGUUUGAUAAAAAUUUCAGAUACCAAGAAUUACAUAUAAAUUAGAGUUGGUUUUGUAAUAUACAGCAUAGAAAUACAUACUUUUCUAUUAUUAAAUAUUUACUGAUUUCUGAAUACUUACACAUGUAUAAGAUAGGUAUUUAGAAAGAUUAAAGAGGGCAUACAGCACACAGACGUUUCUCAUUCCUAUCUCCCAUCUCCUUUCCCAGAGACAGUUUCUAAAACAAAACUGAGGAAAAUACUAACAUCAUUCGUCUAAUAAGAGCAAUGAGGUAUGUAAUACUAAUGAAUCUUAAAACAUAUCAUAUAAAAAACACUAGAUAACUGGACUAAGUAGUGCAAACGUGAAUGUCUAUCUAAAACACACACGUCGCACACACACGAUAAUGAAUGGAAGACGUCCUAGCACAUGUUUACAAACUGUUUGUGUGUUGCCGUCCUACACACCAGACGCAAAGCGCUGAAAACAACAAGCCUGUUCACAAUAGCACCAGGAACGUACAGUACACAGGAAUCAUCUGCAGGUGAUUUGUGACAACUGUAGGCAGAACAGUAAAAGCGAGAGAUACAAUGGAUGACGUCCUAGCACAUGUUUACAAACUGGUUGUGUGUUGCCGUCCUACACACCAGAGGCAAAGCGCUGAAAACAACAAGCCUGUUCACAAUAGCACCAGGAACGUACAGUACACAGGAAUCAUCUGCAGGUGAUUUGUGACAACUGUAGGCAGAACAGUAAAAGCGAGAGAUACAAUGGAUGGUUUGAAAAAUCAGAGACACUCUUCUUCCUUACCGAAUUGCAAGAUUAACGUUGUACUACGCAGACAAAGGUGUGUUCAAGAUUUGGAUCGUAAGCGAGUUCACUGAAAACUAGCGGAGGGGAAGGGCAAAUACUGGAAGGGAAUCCCCGGUGUGACCAGGCCAGAAACACCUCUUUCACAGCAUGGGAUCUGUGCAGGUACUCGGACGCUCCCCGCAGGGCCGCCCGGGCCGGUUUCAGGCGGGCUUGCGGCCCCAAUCACUGCUCCUGUUCGCGGGGACAGGCAGGGGCUGACUGGGAGGACGUCUUGUGGAUGGCCUUGUGCUCCUCGGCGGCCUCCUCCCCCGGGUCGCCACCGCCGACCUCCUCGAUGAC
RNAcentral lists this long non-coding RNA (1332 nucleotides) under Homo sapiens (human). Its description in RNAcentral is "HSALNT0407590". Lineage: Eukaryota; Metazoa; Chordata; Mammalia; Primates; Hominidae. The record is from RNAcentral.